AGUUUGACAUCUGUUUUGCUUUGUAUGCUGGCUGUUAAGUAGAAGGGGUGGUUGCAUUUACGUGAUGUUUUUCUGCUCAAAGCUUUUGUAAACUGCUUUGAAUGAUCUGCAUCUGUAAAUUUGAUAAAUGCUGAAUUACAACAAUGUCCCUACAAUCCAGAAUUUUGUCUCGGUUAGAUAUGCUGUCUGAAAAAUUUCUAAGAGUAUUUAAAAAGCAAGGAGGGCAAAUAGGAGGAAGACUGCAGACCAUCAUGGAAC
This is a long non-coding RNA of Sinocyclocheilus grahami, 258 nucleotides long. RefSeq lists it as uncharacterized. The transcript is spliced from 3 exons. NCBI's taxonomy places the organism in Eukaryota, Metazoa, Chordata, Actinopteri, Cypriniformes, Cyprinidae. The record is from RefSeq and is a predicted model, not a curated record.